Molecule: ribosomal RNA, 373 nt
Filed under: uncultured Glomeromycotina
Lineage: Eukaryota; Fungi; Glomeromycota
Description: LSU rRNA
Source: RNAcentral
UUGAAAGGGAAACGAUUGAAGUCAGUCGUACCUGUGGGUAAUCAGCCUUUUGGGUGUGAUUUUGUGGAGUGUGAGGAGUUAAACGCCUUCAUGCCUGCAUAUUCGUGCACUUUGGGUGUAUUUAUCCGUGUGGUAAGUUAACAUCAAUUUCGGUGGUCAUAAAAUGGCUGGAGGAAUGUAGCUUUGAUCUCGUAUUGAAGUGUUAUAGCCUUCGGUAGAUGUGAUAAUCGGGAUUGAGGAUUGCAACGGAUACCCUUCGGGGCUACCUGUCUGAUCUCUGAUCGUUGCUCUGGUGCCGAAAGCUUGCUUACGGUUAUCAAAGUCGAUGGUCAAUAGGUUAGAAUGGGUUAAAUUCGUUAAGGAUGUUGACGUA